UAAGUAAAAAUACUAAACCAACUAAAAUAAUUGCCUCCAAGACUUACUAAGACUCCAUUUCUUCUCCACUAAUACUAUUCUUCUUUCUUUAACAUCUUCUAAGGACAUCUUUACCUAAUAAUUGUAAUUUUGGCACUCUACAUGCAUUCUUUUGUCCUAAAACAACUAAUGAGUCAAUUUGAUGACUCACAGUUGGCACCUUAGCUUCAUAAUUCUAUUAUACUCUAUUUGUACUCUUAAUUGCCCUAAAGGUGCUCUUAGUAGAAGCACAAAAUUUAUGUCAAGAAGACAAGCUUCUUUGAGAAAAUAUAAGGUCCUUGAUUGCAAGUGGAUUGUAAGAAAUAUAAUAUUUUCUAAAUAAAGUCAAAUGUAAAAAGAUAGUCAAAGGCCAAGUACAAAAUUUAAACUAAUUUCUUUCUUAUACUAAGAUGUAUUCAACUCCUAACUCAAAUCUUAAACCUACACCUCAUCUUAUUAAAUUACCUAUAAUUCACUUAUUAUUAAUUUAAUCUAAGAAAAAUUUAGCUUGUUGAGCUUAACUCAAGCUAUAAACUACAAAUUAUUAAAUUCCACAAGCAAUAUCUUGUAGAAAUGAGAAUUAAACCAAAGAGAAAAAAGAAUUGGCUGCUUGCUAAAAUUACUAUUUCAAAACCCUUAUCUACAAAUCAGCUUGGAUUUCCUUCAUCAUAGCUCUUUUUUUUGCAUACUAAGUCUUAUUGAAAAGCUAACAAUGAAUUAUAGUUUUUUCAAA
This 751-nucleotide long non-coding RNA is filed under the name Physcomitrium patens. Its description in RNAcentral is "long non-coding RNA (PPAT_LNC006290)". Lineage: Eukaryota; Viridiplantae; Streptophyta; Bryopsida; Funariales; Funariaceae. The record is from RNAcentral.